Molecule: unclassified non-coding RNA, 189 nt
Filed under: fungal sp.
Lineage: Eukaryota; Fungi
Description: partial internal transcribed spacer region
Rfam family: Eukaryotic small subunit ribosomal RNA (bases 1-46)
Source: RNAcentral
AAGUCGUAACAAGGUUUCCGUAGGUGAACCUGCGGAAGGAUCAUUGACGAGAGAGGAGGAGGAUUGUGAAUAGCCGGGGGGGGGAGUGAAUUUUUAAGGAUUUGCAUUUUCUUUCUUGGAAGAAUAAAAGAAUUGAAUUGGUGGAAAAAGAAAAAAAUACAACUUUUAACAAUGGAUCUCUUGGCUCUU